AGCCUGAUCCAGCCAUUCCGCGUGCAGGACGAAGGCCUUCGGGUUGUAAACUGCUUUUGUACGGAACGAAAGGGCUCUCUCUAAUACAGGGGGCAUAUGACGGUACCGUAAGAAUAAGCACCGGCUAACUACGUGCCAGCAGCCCGCGGUAAUACA
RNAcentral lists this ribosomal RNA (156 nucleotides) under uncultured Comamonadaceae bacterium. RNAcentral's name for it is "partial 16S ribosomal RNA". It matches the Rfam family "Bacterial small subunit ribosomal RNA", at positions 380 to 527 of the family's 1533-position model. Lineage: Bacteria; Pseudomonadati; Pseudomonadota; Betaproteobacteria; Burkholderiales; Comamonadaceae. The record is from RNAcentral.